GCAAGGGAUAGUCGUCUUGAAACGAGUUCUUUUCACAAAUCCCUGAAUUUGACACAUUCCGCUAGUGAUGCUACAGACGAGGAGCUGUUUGCACAUUACUAUUGCCACUACAGUACAUACUGUACCAGUAGAAAGGUAUUCCUCCAACACAUGUUUUCAUCACUAGUCAUGGUCAAAACACGAAAGGGAAGAAGCGGAGGCGAUCUUCGCAGCACCACUUCUACAGGGCCAGUGUUGAGGUCAUCAGGACCGGCUCGACCUACAAAGCAGCCAGUGAAAAUGGGGUAUUCCUGUGUCCAUCAUUUCAUCAAUGUUCGUGGAAAUCCGUCUCGACUGUCGCCAACGGUUGAGAGUCAGCUACCAGGAAGCAGCAUUUACUUCACACUUGUGUCACGUCAACAAGAAAAGACUCGCAGAAACCUCGAGAAAGAAUUGACUAGUUUUUGUUAAGCAAAUGGCAUCAAUUAACCAACCUGUUAAGUUGAUGAACAUCAUUUGGAACGUCUACCGCUUACUUGGAUCAUACAGCUAAGGGGAGAAGCAAGAUGUGGGCCUCCGACUGGUUCACGUCACCGACUUGGUUGGUCAUCAGCAACUACUCGUGGUCGAUAAAGGCCUUUCUUUGAAAGAGACAAGAUAAGAUGGCCCGAGAACCGAAGCCCCAGCGAGCUCAUUGUAACCAUCUCCGACGACGACCUGAAACACAUGCUUCCUGACAACAGGUGGACAAUGAACGAGACGGGGAUCUUCAGAUUGGGGAGAGGUGGAACGGAGUUUGCGAUUGUCUCCUCGUUUUCUAUCGACAUGGUUGAUGUGUUUGAUAUCUGUAUCAAUUUGGACGAGAGAAAAGGAAAAGAGUGACGACGGACGGAAAAGACCAACGACGGAAAAGACCGACGACGGUGACAACAUUGUGGAUAACCAACUGAGAUACAUUUACCAACAAAUGGCAGAAUAGACAUUUCAUUUGUUCCAAGUCUUCCCCACAUGCCCAGAUGUUCUCAAUGUUUUAAUGAGAUUAACGCCACCUCGACCUCAAUAAGCUGUUGCAGAGAAAUGAAACGCAUUUUCUUUGAGCGACUGUUGAAGUUGACGUGAGAUUGCCACCGUAUCAAUACAGACGUCGAGAAAGUAGCCAGAAGACUACUUUUACCGUUAGAGAUUUAACGAAGAAUAUAUAUUCUUAUAU
RNAcentral lists this unclassified non-coding RNA (1189 nucleotides) under Yarrowia lipolytica. The record is from RNAcentral. Lineage: Eukaryota; Fungi; Ascomycota; Dipodascomycetes; Dipodascales.